GAUGAACGCUGGCGGCGUGCCUAAUACAUGCAAGUCGAGCGAACGGACGAGAAGCUUGCUUCUCUGAUGUUAGCGGCGGACGGGUGAGUAACACGUGGAUAACCUACCUAUAAGACUGGGAUAACUUCGGGAAACCGGAGCUAAUACCGGAUAAUAUUUUGAACCGCAUGGUUCAAAAGUGAAAGACGGUCUUGCUGUCACUUAUAGAUGGAUCCGCGCUGCAUUAGCUAGUUGGUAAGGUAACGGCUUACCAAGGCAACGAUGCAUAGCCGACCUGAGAGGGUGAUCGGCCACACUGGAACUGAGACACGGUCCAGACUCCUACGGGAGGCAGCAGUAGGGAAUCUUCCGCAAUGGGCGAAAGCCUGACGGAGCAACGCCGCGUGAGUGAUGAAGGUCUUCGGAUCGUAAAACUCUGUUAUUAGGGAAGAACAUAUAUGUAAGUAACUGUGCACAUCUUGACGGUACCUAAUCAGAAAGCCACGGCUAACUACGUGCCAGCAGCCGCGGUAAUACGUAGGUGGCAAGCGUUAUCCGGAAUUAUUGGGCGUAAAGCGCGCGUAGGCGGUUUUUUAAGUCUGAUGUGAAAGCCCACGGCUCAACCGUGGAGGGUCAUUGGAAACUGGAAAACUUGAGUGCAGGAGAGGAAAGUGGAAUUCCAUGUGUAGCGGUGAAAUGCGCAGAGAUAUGGAGGAACACCAGUGGCGAAGGCGACUUUCUGGUCUGUAACUGACGCUGAUGUGCGAAAGCGUGGGGAUCAAACAGGAUUAGAUACCCAGGUAGUCCACGCCGUAAACGAUGAGUGCUAAGUGUUAGGGGGUUUCCGCCCCUUAGUGCUGCAGCUAACGCAUUAAGCACUCCGCCUGGGGAGUACGACCGCAAGGUUGAAACUCAAAGGAAUUGACGGGGACCCGCACAAGCGGUGGAGCAUGUGGUUUAAUUCGAAGUAACGCGAAGAACCUUACCAAAUCUUGACAUCCUUUGACAACUCUAGAGAUAGAGCUUUCCCCUUCGGGGGACAAAGUGACAGGUGGUGCAUGGUUGUCGUCAGCUCGUGUCGUGAGAUGUUGGGUUAAGUCCCGCAACGAGCGCAACCCUUAAGCUUAGUUGCCAUCAUUAAGUUGGGCACUCUAAGUUGACUGCCGGUGACAAACCGGAGGAAGGUGGGGAUGACGUCAAAUCAUCAUGCCCCUUAUGAUUUGGGCUACACACGUGCUACAAUGGACAAUACAAAGGGCAGCGAAACCGCGAGGUCAAGCAAAUCCCAUAAAGUUGUUCUCAGUUCGGAUUGUAGUCUGCAACUCGACUACAUGAAGCUGGAAUCGCUAGUAAUCGUAGAUCAGCAUGCUACGGUGAAUACGUUCCCGGGUCU
RNAcentral lists this ribosomal RNA (1372 nucleotides) under uncultured bacterium. RNAcentral describes it as "bacterial SSU rRNA". It matches the Rfam family "Bacterial small subunit ribosomal RNA", at positions 28 to 1381 of the family's 1533-position model. The record is from RNAcentral.